This 72-nucleotide transfer RNA is filed under the name Mesorhizobium sp. Its description in RNAcentral is "tRNA-Arg". It matches the Rfam family "tRNA". From Rfam's summary of the family: Transfer RNA (tRNA) molecules are approximately 80 nucleotides in length. Their secondary structure includes four short double-helical elements and three loops (D, anti-codon, and T loops). The record is from RNAcentral. Lineage: Bacteria; Pseudomonadati; Pseudomonadota; Alphaproteobacteria; Hyphomicrobiales; Phyllobacteriaceae.
CGUCAGUAGUUCAAUGGCAGAACGGCCGGCUUCUACCCGUCAGAUGCGGGUCCGACCCCGCUCCACUGAGGA